Long non-coding RNA from Oncorhynchus keta (chum salmon), 520 nucleotides. RefSeq lists it as uncharacterized. The record is from RefSeq and is a predicted model, not a curated record. NCBI's taxonomy places the organism in Eukaryota, Metazoa, Chordata, Actinopteri, Salmoniformes, Salmonidae. The transcript is spliced from 3 exons.
GUUUUCCUAAAUCCCCAGAGGUUUCUAUUCCCUAAAUCCCCAGAGGUUUCUAUUCCCUAAAUCCCCAGAGGUUUCUAUUCCCUAAAUCCCCAGAGGUUUCUAUUCCCUAAAUCCCCAGAGGUUUCUAUUCCCUAAAUCCCCAGAGGUUUCUAUUCCCUAAAUCCCCAGAGGUUUCUAUUCCCUAAAUCCCCAGAGGUUUCUAUUCCCUAAAUCCCCAGAGGUUUCUAUUCCCUAAAUCCCCAGAGGUUUCUAUUCCCUAAAUCCCCAGAGGUUUCUAUUCCCUAAAUCCCCAGAGGUUUCUAUUCCCUAAAUCCCCAGAGGUUUCUAUUCCCUAAAUCCCCAGAGGUUUCUAUUCCCUAAAUCCCCAGAGGUUUCUAUUCCCUAAAUCCCCAGAGGUUUCUAUUCCCUAAAUCCCCAGAGGUUUCUAUUCCCUAAAUCCCCAGAGGUUUCUAUUCCCUAAAUCCCCAGAGGUUUCUAUUCCCUAAAUCCCCAGAGGUUUCUAUUCCCUAAAUCCCCAGAG